Molecule: long non-coding RNA, 559 nt
Organism: Sander lucioperca (pikeperch)
Lineage: Eukaryota; Metazoa; Chordata; Actinopteri; Perciformes; Percidae
Exons: 3
Source: RefSeq, a predicted model, not a curated record
AGACAUCUAUUACCUAAAUGUGCCACCAGGCAAAGAAAGAGAAAUUAAAGCAUAACUAGCACCAGUCAACCUAAUCCUGGGUUUAUGUCAUGUACUGUAUUUAUAAAGGCCCAAUUAGAAUGAGCUCGGAAGAACAUUUGACACAUUGCGUUUGAAAUUUGUCCACCCGAGUCAUUGUGGAAUAUGCAGGGUCUGAAAUUAGCUGUUUUCACUGCCUGGCGCACAAUUCUGCCACUUUUGAAAUGUAUGCACUUAAUAUAGGAAUAACAUUUAGACAUAACAUUUAAAGAAUGAUGCCAUUCAAUGUUUGAUAUAUUUACAUUACAUGGUCAAUUCCAAUAUUCAAAUUACACCAGGGCUUUUGGGGGAGCCCUGUUUUGCAGGGGUGGGAGGGCACUGUACACAUGCAUUUGCAAUCGACUUUCAAAUGUGUAGCUUUGGUCAAUCCACUAACCUAACAUGUCUCUGUUGUGCAGUUUCUGUCUGCCAAAGCGCCGGCUGGCCUGACGAUUUUACCGGCCACUACCAACAAUUGACCCGUAUUUAACUUCUCAGACCC